UUCUCUACAGCAGGAUACGGGAGCUUCACAGCGCUAUCUGAUGCGGACUUUUGUAAACCAGAUGCCAGGAAGUCUCAAAAUGCAGAGAAAGAAACUUACACUGGCAGCUGUUCUCCUGCUGUGUGCUGUUAACGCACUCUGCUCUGAUGAUGUUGAUAAUCAGAAAUGUGUGUCCAGCUGGGAGGCGGAUUGCUUUCAGCCAGCUGACCACCUGAAUGAUCCUGAUCCUGUCAGCCUGAAGUUGUCAGCCGGUAAGAAAC
Poecilia reticulata (guppy) is the source of this 260-nucleotide non-coding RNA. The record is from RefSeq and is a predicted model, not a curated record. Lineage: Eukaryota; Metazoa; Chordata; Actinopteri; Cyprinodontiformes; Poeciliidae.